Molecule: ribosomal RNA, 460 nt
Filed under: uncultured bacterium
Lineage: Bacteria
Description: partial 16S ribosomal RNA
Rfam family: Bacterial small subunit ribosomal RNA
Source: RNAcentral
CCUACGGGUGGCAGCAGUGAGGAAUAUUGGUCAAUGGACGAAAGUCUGAACCAGCCAAGUAGCGUGAAGGAUGACUGCCCUAUGGGUUGUAAACUUCUUUUAUAUGGGAAUAAAACAGGGUAUGCAUCCCCUCUUGUAUGUACCUUAUGAAUAAGGAUCGUCUAACUACGUGCCAGCAGCCGCGGUAAUACGGAGGUUGCGAGCGUUAUCCGGAUUUAUUGGGUUUAAAGGGAGCGUAGUCGGGUCUGCAAGUCAGAUGUGAAAGUCACGGGCUCAACCGUUGGAUUGCAUUUGAAACUGGAGGUCUUGAGUACAGGUGAGGCAGACGGAAUUCGUGGUGUAGCGGUGAAAUGCGUAGAGAUUAGGAAGAACACCAGUGGCGAAGGCAGCUUACUAGACAGCAACUGACGCUGAUGCGCGAAAGCGUGGGGAUCAAACAGGAUUAGAUACCCCUGUAGUC